RNAcentral lists this long non-coding RNA (363 nucleotides) under Nicotiana benthamiana. RNAcentral's name for it is "long non-coding RNA (NBEN_LNC002015)". The record is from RNAcentral. Lineage: Eukaryota; Viridiplantae; Streptophyta; Magnoliopsida; Solanales; Solanaceae.
GCAAACAAGAGGGAGCUCAGCGCCGAUCCUUGAUGGAGCCCCAUAACCACUGGAAAAUGGUCGGAUCACUUUUAUGAAGAGAAAACUGAAAAUAUAUUUUGGUUUUGUCAAAGAGAAUUUUGUAUUAGAAGGACCAAUAUGUGGGUAUGCCAUUCUGAGUCAAUAAUAUUCUGUCAGACACGAGUCUAGGACAACCCGAAAUUGGAAGGCGAACAUUCUUUUGGUGCAGCCUGAAAUAAAGAGAUGGAUGUUGACUUGAUAAUGCAUGGAAAAUUUGUUAUGGAGGAAGAAGAAAAAAUGGUAUAUAGCCUUGUAUUACCAACCUCUACGCUUAUAGUCAAAACUAGAACGUAGGAGUUAACU